RNAcentral lists this ribosomal RNA (253 nucleotides) under uncultured bacterium. Its description in RNAcentral is "partial 16S ribosomal RNA". It matches the Rfam family "Bacterial small subunit ribosomal RNA", at positions 524 to 776 of the family's 1533-position model. The record is from RNAcentral.
UACGAAGGGGGCUAGCGUUGUUCGGAAUUACUGGGCGUAAAGGGCGCGUAGGCGGUACUUCAAGUCAGGCGUGAAAGCCCCGGGCUCAACCUGGGAACCGCGCUUGAGACUGGCAUGCUCGAGUUCGGGAGAGGAUGGUGGAAUUCCCAGUGUAGAGGUGAAAUUCGUAGAUAUUGGGAAGAACACCGAUGGCGAAGGCAAUCCCCUGGACCUGUACUGACGCUCAUGCACGAAAGCGUGGGGAGCAAACAGG